GGUCUUGUGGUGCAGUGGUUAGCACAUCUGGUCAAUAUCAGCAACUGUUUAAUCCAGCCACACUGAAUGCGUUCGGGAGGCAUAACGCUACCGAGCGAUGGUGGAAGCUCGAUAGCAUGUCGCGGUCGCACGCGAGCUGCGACUUCGGUCCAGCACUUACCACCAGUUGUUUACCUCUCUGUCUUUCGACAGUAUGUAUCCAGAAGACCUACGUUCAAAUCGUAGCAAGACCA
Molecule: non-coding RNA, 233 nt
Organism: Pseudocercospora fijiensis CIRAD86
Lineage: Eukaryota; Fungi; Ascomycota; Dothideomycetes; Mycosphaerellales; Mycosphaerellaceae
Source: the annotation of a RefSeq genome assembly